AGAGCAGGUGACCAGGGGUGACUCAGAAUGGAGCAGGUGGCCAGGGGUGACUCAGAAUGGAGCAGGCGGCCAGGGGUGACUCAGAAUGGAGCAGGCGACCAGGGGUGACUCAGAAUGGAGCAGGUGACCAGGGGUGACUCAGAAUGGAGCAGGUGACCAGGGGAAUAGACGUUAACUACUGAUUAGAACUGUUGGAAAAGGUUGUUUAGUGAAACUAGGGCUGAGGAGAACGAGGAAGUUCAACUUUAAAAUGGAGAACAAAGAACUGAACAUACUGACAUACUGAUUCUUUGAAGAGAAAUUUAGAACUCACUGUAUUCAACAAAUUAUUAUUUUUGCUUUUAAGUGUCUGUGGAAUUCACCGGUGAUCCACCUGCCUCAGCCUCCCAAAGUGCUGGGAUUACAGGCGUGAGCCAUUGUGCCCGGCCAAGAACAGCCUUCCAUUUCUACCUUGCCUGUAGCCUCCCAAACCAAAAUACGGGUCUCAACACCUGGUCCUUGAUCUCCUUGACUCCCGUUGGACCCAAG
RNAcentral lists this long non-coding RNA (528 nucleotides) under Homo sapiens (human). Its description in RNAcentral is "non-protein coding lnc-GPR137B-1:4". Lineage: Eukaryota; Metazoa; Chordata; Mammalia; Primates; Hominidae. The record is from RNAcentral.